This 277-nucleotide ribosomal RNA is filed under the name Clostridioides difficile. RNAcentral's name for it is "partial 23S ribosomal RNA". It matches the Rfam family "Bacterial large subunit ribosomal RNA", at positions 1973 to 2248 of the family's 2925-position model. Lineage: Bacteria; Bacillati; Bacillota; Clostridia; Peptostreptococcales; Peptostreptococcaceae. The record is from RNAcentral.
CGGGUAAGUUCCGACCCGCACGAAAGGCGUAACGAUUUGGGCACUGUCUCAACAACAGACUCGGUGAAAUUGUAAUUCCGGUGAAGAUGCCGGAUACCUGCGACAGGACGGAAAGACCCCAUGGAGCUUUACUGUAGCUUGACAUUGGGGCUUGGUACUACAUGUACAGGAUAGGUGGGAGGCUUUGAACCCAGGACGCCAGUUUUGGCGGAGCCAUCCUUGGGAUACCACCCUUGUAGUACUGGGACUCUAACCAUAGGCCAUGAAUCUGGUCUUG